Molecule: ribosomal RNA, 2906 nt
Filed under: Salmonella enterica subsp. enterica serovar Typhimurium
Lineage: Bacteria; Pseudomonadati; Pseudomonadota; Gammaproteobacteria; Enterobacterales; Enterobacteriaceae
Description: bacterial LSU rRNA
Rfam family: Bacterial large subunit ribosomal RNA
Source: RNAcentral
GAGGUUAAGCGACUAAGCGUACACGGUGGAUGCCCUGGCAGUCAGAGGCGAUGAAGGGCGUGCUAAUCUGCGAUAAGCGCCGGUAAGGUGAUAUGAACCGUUAUAACCGGCGAUACCCGAAUGGGGAAACCCAGUGUGAUUCGUCACACUAUCAUUAACUGAAUCCAUAGGUUAAUGAGGCGAACCGGGGGAACUGAAACAUCUAAGUACCCCGAGGAAAAGAAAUCAACCGAGAUUCCCCCAGUAGCGGCGAGCGAACGGGGAGGAGCCCAGAGCCUGAAUCAGCAUGUGUGUUAGUGGAAGCGUCUGGAAAGGCGCGCGAUACAGGGUGACAGCCCCGUACACAAAAGCGCAUGUGCUGUGAGCUCGAUGAGUAGGGCGGGACACGUGGUAUCCUGUCUGAAUAUGGGGGACCAUCCUCCAAGGCUAAAUACUCCUGACUGACCGAUAGUGAACCAGUACCGUGAGGGAAAGGCGAAAAGAACCCCGGCGAGGGGAGUGAAAAAGAACCUGAAACCGUGUACGUACAAGCAGUGGGAGCACCCUUUGGGGUGUGACUGCGUACCUUUUGUAUAAUGGGUCAGCGACUUAUAUUCUGUAGCAAGGUUAACCGUAUAGGGGAGCCGGAGGGAAACCGAGUCUUAAUUGGGCGUUAAGUUGCAGGGUAUAGACCCGAAACCCGGUGAUCUAGCCAUGGGCAGGUUGAAGGUUGGGUAACACUAACUGGAGGACCGAACCGACUAAUGUUGAAAAAUUAGCGGAUGACCUGUGGCUGGGGGUGAAAGGCCAAUCAAACCGGGAGAUAGCUGGUUCUCCCCGAAAGCUAUUUAGGUAGCGCCUCGUGAAUUCAUCUCCGGGGGUAGAGCACUGUUUCGGCUAGGGGGCCAUCCCGGCUUACCAACCCGAUGCAAACUGCGAAUACCGGAGAAUGUUAUCACGGGAGACACACGGCGGGUGCUAACGUCCGUCGUGAAGAGGGAAACAACCCAGACCGCCAGCUAAGGUCCCAAAGUCAUGGUUAAGUGGGAAACGAUGUGGGAAGGCCCAGACAGCCAGGAUGUUGGCUUAGAAGCAGCCAUCAUUUAAAGAAAGCGUAAUAGCUCACUGGUCGAGUCGGCCUGCGCGGAAGAUGUAACGGGGCUAAACCAUGCACCGAAGCUGCGGCAGCGACACUGUGUGUUGUUGGGUAGGGGAGCGUUCUGUAAGCCUGUGAAGGUGUGUCGUGAGGCAUGCUGGAGGUAUCAGAAGUGCGAAUGCUGACAUAAGUAACGAUAAAGCGGGUGAAAAGCCCGCUCGCCGGAAGACCAAGGGUUCCUGUCCAACGUUAAUCGGGGCAGGGUGAGUCGACCCCUAAGGCGAGGCCGAAAGGCGUAGUCGAUGGGAAACGGGUUAAUAUUCCCGUACUUGGUGUUACUGCGAAGGGGGGACGGAGAAGGCUAUGUUGGCCGGGCGACGGUUGUCCCGGUUUAAGCGUGUAGGCUGGUUUUCCAGGCAAAUCCGGAAAAUCAAGGCUGAGGCGUGACGACGAGGCACUACGGUGCUGAAGCAACAAAUGCCCUGCUUCCAGGAAAAGCCUCUAAGCAUCAGGUAACACGAAAUCGUACCCCAAACCGACACAGGUGGUCAGGUAGAGAAUACCAAGGCGCUUGAGAGAACUCGGGUGAAGGAACUAGGCAAAAUGGUGCCGUAACUUCGGGAGAAGGCACGCUGACAUGUAGGUGAAGUGAUUUACUCAUGGAGCUGAAGUCAGUCGAAGAUACCAGCUGGCUGCAACUGUUUAUUAAAAACACAGCACUGUGCAAACACGAAAGUGGACGUAUACGGUGUGACGCCUGCCCGGUGCCGGAAGGUUAAUUGAUGGGGUCAGCGCAAGCGAAGCUCCUGAUCGAAGCCCCGGUAAACGGCGGCCGUAACUAUAACGGUCCUAAGGUAGCGAAAUUCCUUGUCGGGUAAGUUCCGACCUGCACGAAUGGCGUAAUGAUGGCCAGGCUGUCUCCACCCGAGACUCAGUGAAAUUGAACUCGCUGUGAAGAUGCAGUGUACCCGCGGCAAGACGGAAAGACCCCGUGAACCUUUACUAUAGCUUGACACUGAACAUUGAGCCUUGAUGUGUAGGAUAGGUGGGAGGCUUUGAAGUGUGGACGCCAGUCUGCAUGGAGCCGACCUUGAAAUACCACCCUUUAAUGUUUGAUGUUCUAACGUGGACCCGUAAUCCGGGUUGCGGACAGUGUCUGGUGGGUAGUUUGACUGGGGCGGUCUCCUCCUAAAGAGUAACGGAGGAGCACGAAGGUUGGCUAAUCCUGGUCGGACAUCAGGAGGUUAGUGCAAUGGCAUAAGCCAGCUUGACUGCGAGCGUGACGGCGCGAGCAGGUGCGAAAGCAGGUCAUAGUGAUCCGGUGGUUCUGAAUGGAAGGGCCAUCGCUCAACGGAUAAAAGGUACUCCGGGGAUAACAGGCUGAUACCGCCCAAGAGUUCAUAUCGACGGCGGUGUUUGGCACCUCGAUGUCGGCUCAUCACAUCCUGGGGCUGAAGUAGGUCCCAAGGGUAUGGCUGUUCGCCAUUUAAAGUGGUACGCGAGCUGGGUUUAGAACGUCGUGAGACAGUUCGGUCCCUAUCUGCCGUGGGCGCUGGAGAACUGAGGGGGGCUGCUCCUAGUACGAGAGGACCGGAGUGGACGCAUCACUGGUGUUCGGGUUGUCAUGCCAAUGGCACUGCCCGGUAGCUAAAUGCGGAAGAGAUAAGUGCUGAAAGCAUCUAAGCACGAAACUUGCCCCGAGAUGAGUUCUCCCUGAGACUUAAAGUCUCCUGAAGGAACGUUGAAGACGACGACGUUGAUAGGCCGGGUGUGUAAGCGCAGCGAUGCGUUGAGCUAACCGGUACUAAUGAACCGUGAGGCUUAACCUUAC